UGCCAUUCUUAACGGGAUGGCUUUUCUUAGUGUAAAAAGCUUUUGGAAUAAGAGCUGGGCAAGACCGGUGCCAGCCGCCGCGGUAACACCGGCAGCUCUAGUGGUAGCNGUUUUUAUUGGGCCUAAAGCGUCCGUAGCCGGUUUAAUAAGUCUCUGGUGAAAUCCUGUAGCUUAACUGUGGGAAUUGCUGGAGAUACUNUUAAACUUGAGACCGGGAGAGGUUAGAGGUACUCCCAGGGUAGAGGUGAAAUUCUGUAAUCCUGGGAGGACCGCCUGUUGCGAAGGCGUCUAACUGGAACGNUUCCGACGGUG
Molecule: ribosomal RNA, 312 nt
Filed under: uncultured archaeon
Lineage: Archaea
Description: bacterial SSU rRNA
Rfam family: Archaeal small subunit ribosomal RNA
Source: RNAcentral